Molecule: transfer RNA, 62 nt
Filed under: Erinaceus europaeus (western European hedgehog)
Lineage: Eukaryota; Metazoa; Chordata; Mammalia; Eulipotyphla; Erinaceidae
Rfam family: tRNA
About the family: Transfer RNA (tRNA) molecules are approximately 80 nucleotides in length. Their secondary structure includes four short double-helical elements and three loops (D, anti-codon, and T loops).
Source: Rfam by way of RNAcentral
UGUGACUAAGUGGGUAGAGUACAUGUUUGUCAAACUUAAGACCCCAGGUUCAAUCCCUGGUA